RNAcentral lists this transfer RNA (69 nucleotides) under Rattus norvegicus (Norway rat). It matches the Rfam family "tRNA". Rfam says of the family: Transfer RNA (tRNA) molecules are approximately 80 nucleotides in length. Their secondary structure includes four short double-helical elements and three loops (D, anti-codon, and T loops). Further hydrogen bonds mediate the characteristic L-shaped molecular structure. tRNAs have two regions of fundamental functional importance: the anti-codon, which is responsible for specific mRNA codon recognition, and the 3' end, to which the tRNAs corresponding amino acid is attached (by aminoacyl-tRNA synthetases). tRNAs cope with the degeneracy of the genetic code in two manners: having more than one tRNA (with a specific anti-codon) for a particular amino acid; and 'wobble' base-pairing, i.e. permitting non-standard base-pairing at the 3rd anti-codon position. The record is from Rfam by way of RNAcentral. Lineage: Eukaryota; Metazoa; Chordata; Mammalia; Rodentia; Muridae.
GGGGAUUUAGCUCAGCGGUAGAGCACUUGCCUAGCAGGCACAAGGCCCUGGGUUCGAUCCCCAGCUCCG